UCCGUAGGUGGAUCAAUAAGUCAGAGGUGAAAUCCUGCAGCUUAACUGUAGAACUGCCUUUGAUACUGUUGAUCUUGAGUCAUUAUGAAGUGGUUAGAAUGUGUAGUGUAGCGGUGAAAUGCAUAGAUAUUACACAGAAUACCGAUUGCGAAGGCAGAUCACUAAUAAUGUACUGACACUGAGGGACGAAGGCGUGGGGAGCGAACAGGAUUAGAUACCCUGGUAGUCC
RNAcentral lists this ribosomal RNA (229 nucleotides) under uncultured bacterium. RNAcentral's name for it is "partial 16S ribosomal RNA". It matches the Rfam family "Bacterial small subunit ribosomal RNA", at positions 568 to 796 of the family's 1533-position model. The record is from RNAcentral.